Molecule: long non-coding RNA, 6186 nt
Filed under: Lupinus angustifolius (narrow-leaved blue lupine)
Lineage: Eukaryota; Viridiplantae; Streptophyta; Magnoliopsida; Fabales; Fabaceae
Description: long non-coding RNA (LANG_LNC000034)
Source: RNAcentral
AAAUGAAUACAAAGAUUUCUGGAAAGAAAUUUCCAUGUUAUUAUAAUACUGCAAAUUCAUAAAAUAUAAAUCAUGUAGUAAUAAAAGAUUAUGUCAAGCUGCAUUAUUUCUUCCAAAUAAAUCAUAUGAAUAAACUUAUAGAAAUUACACACUCAUAAGAUAUUGAACUAUUCUAUUUGAGAUGCAAAGUGCAGUUGACUGUAUUGUGAUCGUGGGGUUAACACCAACAGCAGUAGGAAGAACACUUGCAUCACGCACAAACAAGCCUUGUGCUUCCCAACUCUCUCCAUUUUCAUCAACUGCACCUUCUUUUUCAUUCACUCCCAUUCUGCAACUUCCCAUUUGAUGUGCAGAAGUAUAUAAGUUCCAAUGUUCACCUGGUGAUAGCACCCCUUCUACUGGAUUCACAUUCUCUAUAAAUGAUAAGCUCUUUGUGAGUUCUUUUGGAACGAAUUCUUCUGCAUCUAGGGUACUUCUCUAUGCUUUAGCACCACCUACCAUCCAUAGUCCGAUGGUCAAAGAGAGGUCGUAAAUAGGUGCCUCCAAACAUACUUGCAUUGUUUUGCUGGGCCACAAUCGUGACACUGGUUUCGCCACCUCGCUCUUGCUGAGUAUUGGUAUAAUACUAACCAACACUCUACCACAUCCGAGGGAGUUGUGAAUAUCCUGCAAAAUCGACAAGAGCUACUUUCAAUACUCAAACAGAACCUUUGUCGAGCACAACAUCGAAUGAUUGCACAAACUAACUCAGGGAGAACAAAUAUUACAUUUCAACAUGAUGACUGGGUGUUGCUGAAACUACAACCAUAUAUACAACUCUCCCUUGCUCGUCGUAGCUCACACAAUCUAGCCUCAAAGUAUUUCGGCCCAUUCCAAGUGAUUAGAAGGAUUGGGUUGGUGGCUUACGAGCUUGCUCCUCUGCCUUCAUCACGGAUCCACCCCGUUUUUCAUGUGUCUCUCCUUUGAAAAUUUCAUCGGGAUCUCGAAGGUCAAUAUAUUCGUCUACCGAUGGGUCUGGUCAUACUCCAUAAAGGUGAAUCGAUGCAACCGGAGGACAAUAGACUCGUGAGAGAACAAAGAGUAAAGGAGGGAAUGACAUCUCUAUCUCUAAGAGAAAUAGUGAAAAAGAAAAAACACAAGAGAAAGAUGAGAUAAUUAGUGAUUCAGGCCAAAUUUAGUGAUUCUGCAGCAACCCAAAUUUAAAUUUCAUCCACAACUUUGGAUUCCUUUUUGCCCCACCAUAGGCCGCCACGUGGCUCAAACAAAGGUGAAAAACGGGCCACUCCAGUUUCCAUCAGCCCACCCGUUUCCCACUCCCUUGUUGGACCGAGUGGACCAUAACUUGUUGGGCUGAUCAUACACAAUCAACAUACCAACCUUUAGGACAAGUUUAUUCAUGAUAGGAUGGGAAAUGAUAGGGCCCAAAUUGUUAAUGAAAAAAGAAAAUAUGUUAGGCCAGCUUGGUUAAAUGAUUAUGUUUAAUGAAUUGGGUUGUUAGGACAACUGUCCUUGAUUGUGAUUCACCCAAGUGUAUGGUGUAGAUCAAAACUAUCUUAGAUAUUUUCAAUUCUCGUUCUUUAUAUUGUAAGAAAAUGCUAUGAAUGAAGUAAACAUAUAUGAAUUCACUUAACUUUUCUUAAUUUUUCUCUCUUUGCAUAUUAUUCCUAAAAAAUAUAACCCUCUACUAUUAUCUUCCUAACAAGAUCCUGGCAAAAGAACAACCAAAGCCAUACACAGCAACCAGAACAACGAGAUGCAUAAAUAACUCACCCAACCAAAUCAGCAGCAAGUACAACUCUCAGAAGCUCUAAUAUGGAUGGUAGAGUACUGUGUAAUUCCGAGGAAGGAAAAGGUGUAUGGAGAAACCAUCCAACUUUCAUAUUGCUAUUGUAUUUUUUCAAACAUUUUGGAAGAAACAUGAGGUGGUAAUCAUGGCACCAAACAAUAUCUCCUUCUUCAUAAUACUUAUUAUUGACUACAUCAGCAAACAUUUGGUUUGCUAUCUUAUAUGCAUCAAAUUGAGAUUAGAAACUACCCGUGGUAGCGAGUCUGUCUUCAUGUGGAAGCCCAAGGUAAUAAAAAAUAAGCCAUAAGAUGUUGUUGCAGUAACCUAUGAAGCACAGAUUCACCAAAUACCCUCGCGUGUCGGUGUCCGACACGUAUCCGACACAGAUACGCUCAGAUUCGCGAAGGAUACGUGUCCAUAGAGUAUCCAAAAAUAUAAAAAAAUAAAAAAAUAAAAAAAAUAUCAAAACACAUAUCGGAUUCGUUUUCAAUAAAAUAUAGGAUAUAUAGAUUCGUUUUUAAUAAAAUAAAGGAUAUAUAGAUUCAUUUUAUGAUAAGAUAGAUUUGUUUUCAAUAAACACUCACUUAUUUAAAGGUCACAUCAUACCAACUUACCAUCACACCACAUUGACCCUCGAAUAACUGGUACUUUCCGAUCCAUAACGUCGCUAGCUGGUACUUAGUGUUACUGCCUCUACUGUCAUAGAUAUGUUGUGAAGAGUAAACAGAAAAAGGCUUACAUUUCUUACUUCUUAGUUUCUUUUCGCUCAGUAUGUUUAUAAAGAGAAGAGAAUGUGUGACUAUUAAUAGAGAAGAUAGAUAAAAGACUUACCUUUAUUUCUUAACAGAGAAGAGAAGAAAGAGGGUAGGAGAUAAUAUUUUGAUUUACACUUAUAUUUUUAUCAUAUUUUAUGUAUUUUUUAUUAAUUUAUAUGCGUAUCCCUGAACGUAUCGUAUCUACAUUUUAGAAAAAAUGCGUGUCGACGUAUCAGAUACAUAUCGUAUCCGAUACACGUAUCUGUAUCUGUGCUUCAUAGGUAAUAACCAUUAUAGUACUGAUUAACUAUCUCCUCAUCAAGAAAUACUGGUAUGCAUCUCUGCAGAUAAUAAUGCAUAAUUUUUGAUAUUAUCUGUAUGUCUUGGAUAUUAGAAGGAGAAUCACUCUAGUGAUAAGAGACCAUAUAUUAGGAAGCACGGUAUGAUUACAAGACUAUAUGGACACGACAAACAAAUUUAAAAACUAUAGGAUGCACCGUGACUAUGAUACAAGAAUUUGACACAAAAUUGAACAACAUAAAGAACAUAAAUUUGACACAUACUUCAACCAAACAUAAAGAAGAAUACCAUUUCAGCUAAAGAUUUAGUCAAUGCUUCUGAGACAUCAUCAUCAUGCACAUUCACACCAGGCCACCCGAUCCAUCUGGUAUCGAACUCCUUCACAUCUUGGUGUUAGAGAAGUGCAGUUAUAAUUGUUCCCUGGCAUAUACUUGGUUUGAAAAUUGCACAUAACUUGUAUUUUUACUUAACUCAUUUUUAUCAGUAAUUGAAUAGGUAAAAUACUUAGUCAUACAAUUUGUAAUGCUGAAUCAAAUACUCAGUCAUACAAAUAUAUGAAUAGUUGCACACUUCAUUUCGUUUGUUACAUUUUGACAGCACUUGGUAGAUUUGUCCAUAACAGAGUAUACCAGCUUUGUUCUAUGUUCAGUAUAUUCUACCAAGACAAUAGAAUAGGACAAUAAAUUGUAAAAUAGGAGAAUAUACUACAAAUAUAACAUCUUGGUUCGGCUAUCUAUCAAAGAGUCUCGACGCAACGAUAAGAAGUUGCUUGCUUUGUGACCUAGGAGUUAUGGUUUCAAAUCCUAGAAACAACCAUUUUGCUUACGAGCAAUGACACAACCAAUGUCAUGAGGGUGCGCACAUGCACACCCUAGAAAAAAAAAUUUGUAUAUAUUACCAUUAUAGUUAAUAUUUGUUGCACUCCAUGUUAUAUAAAAUUGUGCAUCACUUCAUUUGUCUUAUUCUAAUACAUUUUAAACCAUUCAAUUUGCUUUCGCCGCUCUCCCUAGUUCAUGGAUCAACCAUUUCUUUCAAGGUUAAGACUACAUAUAUCUAAGAUCCCCAAAUACAUUUGUCUUAUAAAACUGUUGCACUUCAUGUUAUAUAAAAUUGUGCAUCACUUCAUUUGUCUUAUUCUAAUACAUUUUAGACCAUUCAAUCUGCUUUCACUGCUCUCCCUGGUUCAUGGAUCAACCAUUUCUUUUAAGGUUAAGACUACAUAUAUCUACAAUUCUCAAACCCCAGUAGCUGAAGACUUCUGCAUUGGGCCACCCUUUUAUCCGUCGAGGAGAACAAAAUAUAUUCUGCCAUGUUUCCUCCUGUUCUAUAUGUGCACUAAUAUUUCAACCACAUUCCAAUUAUUUAUCCAAUGGAAAAAAUGUCACUUUACUCAAUGGUAUGAUCCAUGCACUUAACUCCAUGAUCAUGAUUUAAUACUAAAAUAUAUUUAGAGGUUGUGUUGGUUAUGUAGCAAACAAAAGUGUAGAGAGGAAAUGUGUUAUGAAGAAGACAUUAUUUUAUUCAUCAACAAUGCACAUAAUUUAUACAACAUGAAAAGAAAGCUGAUGCAGAAAAAAUAAGUUCCUACAUGAAUAGUAUAAUGAGUCACAUAAGUGCUCCAACAUAAAAGGGUGAAAUAUUCCCAACACCUAUAUUAAACCUAUAUUGCCUAAUGAAUAUAAACAUAUAAUAUUGUAUCUUUAUUGCCUAAUGAAUAGAAACAUAAUAGCUUCUGAGCCAUACUAAUCAACACUCCUCCUUAACUCUGGAGUUGUAAACUUCAAGGUUUUUCCAUAUGCUUAUUCUCAGAAUCGUCAAGACUGAACUUGGUUACGUAAGUCCAUUUGACUCCUAUACUCUUCUUGUGUUUAGACAUAUCUACCAACUUCCAUGUCUCAUUUUUUUCAAUGACCAUGAGAUCCUCCUUCAUUGCAUCUAUCCAUUUCUAGUCACUUCCAGCUUCUUCAUAUUUUGCAACAUCUAAUGGUAUACUCAUAGGUCCUCCAAUAUUUGUAUGUAUCAGUUGCAGCUUCUGUGUAGCAUUCCUUGUCCUUUUUUGCAGAAAAAAAACCUUGUAAGCUUCUCAUAUCGGUAGACAAUGUGUGUAUGAGACUUUGUUUCUAUUUGUUCUUUGUGUACUACAACUUUCUCAUCUUUCAUCAAAUCCAAGACAAAACGUUUUCCUUUCAUUUGAACUUUGAACACAUCUCUACCUUUUGAAUCUUUAAUCAUGCAGGUUUUGUCUUCAAACAAAACCUUAUAGUCUUUGUCCAUCAACUGAGGAACAUUUAACAAAUCUUGAUUAAUUUCAGGAACAUAUACGACAUCAUGAAUUAAUUUCAAACAUGUGUAACUUUUAAUUACAAUUGUUCCUUUGCCUUUUGUUGCAAUAUAUGUCCCAUUUCCAAUUCUCUCGAUCAUAAGUCAUGUGGUUUGUACAACCAUCAUCAAUGAGCCAACUUUCUGUAGAAUUGUUGGCUUUAAAACAUGAUAUUGUGAACAAUUGCUCUUCUUAUGGUUGAUCAUCAACAAUAUUAACUUCUCCUUUUGUUGUUGUUGUUGUUGAGAGUUGCAUAUUUUUUCCAUGUGCCCUAACUAACCACACUUAUAACAUCUUGCAUCAUGCCUCCACCAACAUCUAUUUUGUGGAUGAUUAGUUUUUUUCAGUAGAUACAAGGUGGAAAGACUUCAUUAUUACUACUUUGAUUAUUGUAUUUGUUGUUUGUAGAACCUCCAGUUUUGUAGUUGUAUGAACACCCAAUUUGGUAUUGGUCGAUGAUAGGUAGUCUUUUUUGCAUCACAUGCAUGCUCAAGUUAAGAAGCCACAUGAGGAACAUAAAUCAUCCACAUGCAUGUUCAAGUUAAGAAUUACACAGUUUUAAAGAGAUGUGAAGCACAAAUUUCAUUACCCCAAAUGAAUACAAAGAUUUCUGGAAAGAAAUUUCCAUGUUAUUAUAAUACUGCAAAUUCAUAAAAUAUAAAUCAUGUAGUAAUAAAAGAUUAUGUCACACUGCAUUAUUUCUUCCAAAUAAAUCAUAUGAAUAAACUUGUAGAAAUUACACACUCAUAAGAUAUUGAACUAUUCUAUUUGAGAUGCAAAGUGCAGUUGACUGUAUUGUGAUCGUGGGGUUAACACCAACAGCAGUAGGAAGAACACUUGCAUCACGCACAAACAAGCCUUGUGCUUCCCAACUCUCUCCAUUUUCAUCAACUACACCUUCUUUUUCACUCCCAUUCUGCAACUUCCCAUUUGAUGUGCAGAAGUAUAUAAGUUCCAAUAUUCACCUGGUGAUAGCACCCCUUCUACUGGAUUCACAUUCUCUAUAAACUCUUCUACUUCAUUUU